CUCUGUUGAAGGGCGAAUGACCUUUCGGCUCCUUUCCUGGUCAAAGCGCAUGGCCCAUCUGCGUAGCUCCUCGCCUCCUGUACGUCUGCAGCUGAGGAAGGGCCCGACUGAUUGGCCUGGGACUGUAAGGAGGAGGCAGAAGAGGCCUCCAAGCGACACAGUGGGGUUGAGUUCUCAGUGAGGGCGGGCAGAAGAUACACGCUGUGCUCGACUCCGGAAAGACCAGUGAGAAAUGAUGGUUUAAUACAGACCCGGCACCGAGCUCCUGAGGGCCUGGUCUAAUCCAACUGGAGACUACCGU
Molecule: long non-coding RNA, 301 nt
Filed under: Fukomys damarensis (Damara mole-rat)
Lineage: Eukaryota; Metazoa; Chordata; Mammalia; Rodentia; Bathyergidae
Description: lncRNA (ENSFDAG00000027847.1)
Source: RNAcentral